This 318-nucleotide ribosomal RNA is filed under the name uncultured fungus. RNAcentral describes it as "eukaryotic LSU rRNA". The stretch from base 1 to 71 matches the Rfam family "5.8S ribosomal RNA", at positions 84 to 154 of the family's 154-position model. Lineage: Eukaryota; Fungi. The record is from RNAcentral.
GUGAGUCAUCGAAUCUUUGAACGCACAUUGCGCCUCCUGGCAUUCCGGGAGGCAUGCUUGUUUGAGAACCGUCCGAUACUCACCUUGCCCUUUUACCGGGCUUGGGUGGAUCUGGGUGAUCGGCCUCACCGUCGCCACCCAAAAAGCAGAAAACUGAGGACAUAGUCAAAAAAAAGGACGUGCCAGAUGUGGAGCUUCCACGUUAACGUCUGGCUUGGGCUUUGCCUCACACAAAUUAUGGGGUAAGAUGUUACCCUGAUCAUGGUCUCAAAUCAAGCAAGAGGACCCGCUGAACUUAAGCAUAUCAAUAAGCGGAGG